UGCCAGCAGCCGCGGUAAUACGGAGGGGGCUAGCGUUGUUCGGAAUUACUGGGCGUAAAGCGCACGUAGGCGGACUAUUAAGUCAGGGGUGAAAUCCCGGGGCUCAACCCCGGAACUGCCUCCAAAACUAUCAGUCUAGAGUUCGAGAGAGGUGAGUGGAACUCCGAGCGUAGAGGUGAAAUUCGUAGAUAUUCGGAAGAACACCAGUGGCGAAGGCGGCUCACUGGCUCGAUACUGACGCUGAGGUGCGAAAGUGUGGGGAGCAAACAGGAUUAGAUA
RNAcentral lists this ribosomal RNA (279 nucleotides) under uncultured bacterium. RNAcentral's name for it is "partial 16S ribosomal RNA". It matches the Rfam family "Bacterial small subunit ribosomal RNA", at positions 506 to 784 of the family's 1533-position model. The record is from RNAcentral.